UAAUAAGUGUUUUAUGGCACUUUUUAAAUCCAUAUCCACCUUGUGUGCAAUGUCAGUCGAUCUUCUUCAUGGAGAUCGACCAAACAUCAACCUUUAUCUUUUUACUCUUUGUCUGAAAAAUAUCAUGAAUAAACAAUUCAAAAUA
Molecule: unclassified non-coding RNA, 145 nt
Filed under: soil metagenome
Description: partial internal transcribed spacer 1
Source: RNAcentral